UUGUAGCUGGUGAAAUGUGGCUUACGGAAGACCCACUCCCCGGCACAACUCGUGGGGGGCCCAAGUCCUUUUGACCAAGGCCCAGCCCCUGGCAGG
This is a long non-coding RNA of Myotis davidii, 96 nucleotides long. RefSeq lists it as uncharacterized. The record is from RefSeq and is a predicted model, not a curated record. NCBI's taxonomy places the organism in Eukaryota, Metazoa, Chordata, Mammalia, Chiroptera, Vespertilionidae. The transcript has 3 exons.